GUCGAGCGAACGGACGAGAAGCUUGCUUCUCUGAUGUUAGCGGCGGACGGGUGAGUAACACGUGGAUAACCUACCUAUAAGACUGGGAUAACUUCGGGAAACCGGAGCUAAUACCGGAUAAUAUUUUGAACCGCAUGGUUCAAAAGUGAAAGACGGUCUUGCUGUCACUUAUAGAUGGAUCCGCGCUGCAUUAGCUAGUUGGUAAGGUAACGGCUUACCAAGGCAACGAUGCAUAGCCGACCUGAGAGGGUGAUCGGCCACACUGGAACUGAGACACGGUCCAGACUCCUACGGGAGGCAGCAGUAGGGAAUCUUCCGCAAUGGGCGAAAGCCUGACGGAGCAACGCCGCGUGAGUGAUGAAGGUCUUCGGAUCGUAAAACUCUGUUAUUAGGGAAGAACAUAUGUGUAAGUAACUGUGCACAUCUUGACGGUACCUAAUCAGAAAGCCACGGCUAACUACGUGCCAGCAGCCGCGGUAAUACGUAGGUGGCAAGCGUUAUCCGGAAUUAUUGGGCGUAAAGCGCGCGUAGGGGUUUUUUAAGUCUGAUGUGAAAGCCCACGGCUCAACCGUGGAGGGUCAUUGGAAACUGGAAAACUUGAGUGCAGAAGAGGAAAGUGGAAUUCCAUGUGUAGCGGUGAAAUGCGCAGAGAUAUGGAGGAACACCAGUGGCGAAGGCGACUUUCUGGUCUGUAACUGACGCUGAUGUGCGA
This 712-nucleotide ribosomal RNA is filed under the name uncultured Staphylococcus sp. RNAcentral's name for it is "bacterial SSU rRNA". It matches the Rfam family "Bacterial small subunit ribosomal RNA", at positions 61 to 756 of the family's 1533-position model. The record is from RNAcentral. Lineage: Bacteria; Bacillati; Bacillota; Bacilli; Caryophanales; Staphylococcaceae.